UACGUAGGGUGCAAGCGUUGUCCGGAAUUAUUGGGCGUAAAGAGCUCGUAGGCGGUCUGUCGCGUCGGCUGUGAAACUCGGGGCUCAACUCCGAGCUUGCAGUCGAUACGGGCAGGCUAGAGUUCGGCAGGGGAGACUGGAAUUCCUGGUGUAGCGGUGGAAAUCGCGCAGAUAUCAGGAGGAACACCCGGUGGCGCAAAGGGCGGGAUCUCUGGGGCCCGAAGUACUGACGCUGGAGGAGCGAAAGCGUGGGAGCGAAGCAG
This 263-nucleotide ribosomal RNA is filed under the name uncultured bacterium. RNAcentral's name for it is "partial 16S ribosomal RNA". It matches the Rfam family "Bacterial small subunit ribosomal RNA", at positions 524 to 776 of the family's 1533-position model. The record is from RNAcentral.